CCUACGGGUGGCAGCAGUGGGGAAUAUUGCACAAUGGGGGAAACCCUGAUGCAGCAACGCCGCGUGAAGGAAGAAGGCUUUCGGGUUGUAAACUUCUUUUAAGAGGGAAGAGCAGAAGACGGUACCUCUUGAAUAAGCCACGGCCAACUACGUGCCAGCAGCCGCGGUAAUACGUAGGUGGCAAGCGUUAUCCGGAUUUACUGGGUGUAAAGGGAGCGUAGACGGCCAGACAAGUCAGAAGUGAAAGCCCAGGGUUCAACCCUGGGACUGCUUUUGAAACUGCCGGGCUGGAGUGCAGGAGAGGUAAGCGGAAUUCCUAGUGUAGCGGUGAAAUGCGUAGAUAUUAGGAGGAACACCAGUGGCGAAGGCGGCUUACUGGACUGUAACUGACGUUGAGGCUCGAAAGCGUGGGGAGCAAACAGGAUUAGAUACCCCUGUAGUC
RNAcentral lists this ribosomal RNA (442 nucleotides) under uncultured bacterium. RNAcentral's name for it is "partial 16S ribosomal RNA". It matches the Rfam family "Bacterial small subunit ribosomal RNA", at positions 338 to 795 of the family's 1533-position model. The record is from RNAcentral.